RNAcentral lists this ribosomal RNA (1561 nucleotides) under seawater metagenome. Its description in RNAcentral is "bacterial LSU rRNA". It matches the Rfam family "Bacterial large subunit ribosomal RNA", at positions 1065 to 2641 of the family's 2925-position model. The record is from RNAcentral.
GAUCUACACUCUUUCCCUACACGACGCUCUUCCGAUCUUGGGCUUCCAAUUUAUUGGGAGCGGUAGAGGAGCGUCGAUAGGGCUGUGAAGCGGAUCCGUGAGGGUUCGUGGAGCGCUAUCGAGUGAGAAUGCAGGCAUGAGUAACGAGAGAGGGGUGAGAAACCCCUCCGCCGAAAGCCCAAGGGUUCCUGGGGAAGGCUAAUCCCCCCAGGGUGAGUCGGGAGCUAAGGCGAGGCCGAAAGGCGUAGUCGAUGCACAACUGGUUGAUAUUCCAGUACCUCCAUGCCCGCGCCAAGUCCAAUAGUUGCAACGUUGGGGCUGUUCAUCUUUAUGUUGAGCGAUCUGACUGAGCGUCUGGCGGAUAAUUGACGGGGGACGCAGGAAGAUAAGUGAACCCGGGCGAUGGUAGUCCCGGGGUAAGCGUGUAGGCGGUUCCCGAUGAGAGUUGGGAGCGUUAACGCUGAGACGUGAUGCCGAGCGACAUACUGCGAAGUCACUGAUUCUAUGCUGCCAAGAAAAGCCCAGCAAUGAGUUGGCAUGGAGCCCGUACCCCAAACCGACACAGGUGGGCGGGUAGAGAAUACCAAGGCGAUCGGGAGAACUGUGGUUAAGGAACUCGGCAAAAUGCCCCCGUAACUUCGGGAGAAGGGGGGCCACUGAUCGUGAACAUCCUUGCGGUGGGCAGCGGUUGGUGGUCGCAGAGACCAGUGAGAAGCGACUGUUUACUAAAAACACAGGUCCGUGCGAAGUCGUAAGACGAUGUAUACGGACUGACGCCUGCCCGGUGCUGGAAGGUUAAGAGGACCGGUUAGCCGCAAGGCGAAGCUGAGAAUUUAAGCCCCAGUAAACGGCGGUGGUAACUAUAACCAUCCUAAGGUAGCGAAAUUCCUUGUCGGGUAAGUUCCGACCUGCACGAAUGGCGUAACGACUUCCCAACUGUCUCAACCGCGAACUCGGCGAAAUUGCAUUACGAGUAAAGAUGCUCGUUACGCGCAGCAGGACGGAAAGACCCCGGGACCUUUACUAUAGUUUGGUAUUGGUGAUUGGGACGGUUUGUGUAGGAUAGGUGGGAGACGUUGAUGCGGCCACGCUAGUGGUGGUGGAGUCGUUGGUGAAAUACCACUCUGAUUGUUCUGGUUAUCUCACUGUGGACCGUGAUCCGGUUCAAGGACAGUGCCUGAUGGGUAGUUUGACUGGGGCGGUCGCCUCCUAAAGGGUAACGGAGGCGCCCAAAGGUUCCCUCAGCCUGGUUGGUAAUCAGGUGGUGAGUGUAAGUGCACAAGGGGGCUUGACUGUGAGACUGACAGGUCGAGCAGGGACGAAAGUCGGGACUAGUGAUCUGACGGUGGCUUGUGGAUGCGCCGUCACUCAACGGAUAAAAGGUACCCCGGGGAUAACAGGCUGAUCUUGCCCGAGCGCUCAUAGCGACGGCAUGGUUUGGCACCUCGAUGUCGGCUCGUCGCAUCCUGGGGCUGGAGUCGGUCCCAAGGGUUGGGCUGUUCGCCCAUUAAAGCGGCACGCGAGCUGGGUUCAGAACGUCGUGAGACAGUUCGGUCCCUAU